Carassius carassius (crucian carp) is the source of this 753-nucleotide RNA transcript. It is a transcript of the gene named FXYD domain-containing ion transport regulator 11-like, with no coding region annotated. The transcript is spliced from 6 exons. NCBI's taxonomy places the organism in Eukaryota, Metazoa, Chordata, Actinopteri, Cypriniformes, Cyprinidae. The record is from RefSeq and is a predicted model, not a curated record.
GAAAAUACUGAAAGGUUGUGAGAUUAGCACACCUGAGGAGCAUCAUCCAACAUCCACUGUUCAGAAAGCCAUCAGUUCCUCUGCUAAGAAGGGGUAAAAAUGAGCCAACUCACAGAACUAGUUCUCCUUACAGUCUUCUUGGCACUCUUCAGUCAAGCUGAAGCGAGUAAGACAGAAAAGUUUCUUCCUUUCUUAUAUCGCUAUUCAAUGUGUAAUCUUGCCAGUCUCAUGCAUUGACAACAUUAAGAUCUAUGGCUGCAUUUUGCUGUUUUCAAUUGCAGUCUAAGUUUUCUCCUCUUUUUUGCCUUUGCAGAUCCUUUUGUUUAUAACUAUGAGGCGCUAAGGAUCGGGGGUUUGGUCUUCACAGGCGUACUAGUAGCUGGAGGGGUUGGAAUUCUGUGUCGGGGGCAGUGCAAACCAAAAAGAAAGCAUGUUGAAGACGCGAGCAAAAUCUGAGGAUCAGGGACUUCAUCUGCUGAAACUUUCUAAUGGGUUUUUAAUUGAGUAGAAGACUGUUUUAUUCUUAGUCUUGAUACUAACUACUGAUGACUAACUAGCUCCACGUCUCAUCUGUAUUUUACUGUAGGUUUUCCAUAGUUUCAACAUUUUUCAACCACUUAAUUUGUGCAUUAAUCACAGUCCCUUUCCGAAAAAACUGAGCUUUUGAAUUUGUAGAUUCAUUCUAUAAAUUUGAGCAAUCUCUCAAAGUGGCACUUUACUGUAAUAAAGAUUCUCAGUUAUGGGUCUGCAAAA